UCAGGCUUUUUGGGCUGUAAGUGUCAGAACAUCCAACUUGAAGUUGCUGAAGCCAGACAGAAAUGUAUUAUUAACGCAGAACUGAAUGUCCAGGAUGGAAGUAAGAUGGCUCAGAAUAUCCCAGCCUUACAACUACAGACCACAGUAUCUGGAGGGAAAAUGAGAUCUUUUCUCAAUGCAGAUCUCAGGAAUAAGGCUGUGCCAGGCAGCGUGCAGGAUCUUAAUUCCCUGACCAGGGAUUGAACCUGUGCCCCUGGAGUGGAAGUUUGGAGGCCUAACCACUGGACCACCAGGGAUGUCCCUCGACUGCCUUUUAAUUCAGUUAAUUCAGUCACUUUGCAGUUCAUUUUUUGCUUCGUAUUUAAGUGUUUUGGUGGUCAGACCACAUUUCUGCUAAGAGUUCAUGGCUUGUUUUCAGGAGAAAAUGGCUAAAAGUUCAAUAUAAUUGUAUGCAUUUGAGGUCUAUGAAUAACUGUGAUAAAAUGUUCAGAAAGUAAAAAUGCUGCCUUCCACUCAAAAUUAAAUGGAGUUGACACAGCUGGUUUGUUUGAUUUGGGGGUGGGCAAAUGGGGUUGUGCUAGAUUGUAUAUUUCAGUUAUCAGAUUUCUCUAGAAAAACGACUGGAUUUCUAAAUGAGUUUCCUGAGAAAAUGACUAAGUGUGUGAAUAACACUAAAAUAAGUUUCCUGUACAUUGCGAAAUGGAUAUUGAAGGGGAGAAAGGGCUCAGUGUGUCAUAGUUGUUUGGAAAUUGUUUUAGCAUGGAAAUGGGUACCAU
This is a long non-coding RNA of Bos taurus (domestic cattle), 776 nucleotides long. NCBI's taxonomy places the organism in Eukaryota, Metazoa, Chordata, Mammalia, Artiodactyla, Bovidae. The record is from Ensembl.